Molecule: ribosomal RNA, 117 nt
Filed under: Diaphorina citri (Asian citrus psyllid)
Lineage: Eukaryota; Metazoa; Arthropoda; Insecta; Hemiptera; Psyllidae
Source: RNAcentral
UGUGAAACCGAUAGCACGUUGAAUGCACGAGUUCCUCCACAGAUCACUGAAGUUAAGCAAACGUUGCGCGUGGUUAGUACUUGGAUACUACCUGGAGAAGAACACUCAGUUUCAUGA